This 482-nucleotide ribosomal RNA is filed under the name uncultured bacterium. Its description in RNAcentral is "partial 16S ribosomal RNA". It matches the Rfam family "Bacterial small subunit ribosomal RNA", at positions 30 to 507 of the family's 1533-position model. The record is from RNAcentral.
AUUGAACGCUGGCGGCAUGCUCUACACAUGCAAGUCGAACGGUAACAGGCCGCAAGGUGCUGACGAGUGGCGAACGGGUGAGUAAUGCAUCGGAACGUGCCCAGUCGUGGGGGAUAACUACUCGAAAGAGUAGCUAAUACCGCAUACGAUCUAUGGAUGAAAGCGGGGGACCGUAAGGCCUCGCGCGAUUGGAGCGGCCGAUGUCAGAUUAGGUAGUUGGUGGGGUAAAGGCUCACCAAGCCAACGAUCUGUAGCUGGUCUGAGAGGACGACCAGCCACACUGGGACUGAGACACGGCCCAGACUCCUACGGGAGGCGGCAGUGGGGAAUUUUGGACAAUGGGCGCAAGCCUGAUCCAGCAAUGCCGCGUGCAGGAAGAAGGCCUUCGGGUUGUAAACUGCUUUUGUACGGAACGAAACGGCUCUGGUUAAUACCCGGGGCUAAUGACGGUACCGUAAGAAUAAGCACCGGCUAACUACGUG